UAGGGAAUCUUCGGCAAUGGACGAAAGUCUGACCGAGCAACGCCGCGUGAGUGAAGAAGGUUUUCGGAUCGUAAAACUCUGUUGUUAGAGAAGAACAAGGACGUUAGUAACUGAACGUCCCCUGACGGUAUCUAACCAUAAAGCCACGGCUAACUACGUGCCAGCAGCCGCGGUAAUACGUAGGUGGCAAGCGUUGUCCGGAGUUAUUGGGCGUAAAGCGAGCGCAGGCGGUUUCUUAAGUCUGAUGUGAAAGCCCCCGACUCAACCGGAGAGGGUCAUUGGAAACUGGGAGACUUGAGUGCAGAAGAGGAGAGUGGAAUUCCAUGUGUAGCGGUGAAAUGCGUAGAUAUAUGGAGGAACACCAGUGGCGAAGGCGGCUCUCUGGUCUGUAACUGACGCUGAGGCUCGAAAGCGUGGGGAGCAAACAGG
This 429-nucleotide ribosomal RNA is filed under the name Gemmatimonadota bacterium. Its description in RNAcentral is "Gemmatimonadetes bacterium partial 16S ribosomal RNA". It matches the Rfam family "Bacterial small subunit ribosomal RNA", at positions 355 to 776 of the family's 1533-position model. The record is from RNAcentral. Lineage: Bacteria; Pseudomonadati; Gemmatimonadota.